Molecule: RNA transcript, 1953 nt
Organism: Solanum dulcamara
Lineage: Eukaryota; Viridiplantae; Streptophyta; Magnoliopsida; Solanales; Solanaceae
Exons: 8
Source: RefSeq, a predicted model, not a curated record
GUACUUUGAAAAAUAUUUUACUUGCGUUAUUUUUAUUUUUUUUGGAAUAGAAGAGGAAUCGCUGCAAAGUUUAAACAUAGCCAUUGCCAAAAUUCCCAUUGAGCGACAUAGAGGAUGAGUUCCCACGACAUACGCCGUCCGUUCAAACGUCCGGCGAUCUCCGACCAACAAAGACGCCGUGAACUUUCAUUGCUCCGGCAGUCCCAAAACCGCCACGACGCUCAGCUACAAGCACGUCGUUUAGCUUCCACUGUCCUCUCUCUUCAAUCCACGCAAGACGACUACAAGUCCGCUUCCGAAGAGCAACAACUCGACAUAGAAGUAACCGACGAGCUUGAAUCCUUCCCGGAAGAAACCGACGAAGAUUAUAAAAAUCAUAUUGACGCACAUGAUCUUCGUCAAGCUACCAAGCUGAGAGGACAUGAAGCUCGGUUAUGGUUUGCGAAGCAGCUUAUGCUUCCCGAGUGGAUGAUUGAUGUUCCAGAUAACUUGAAUACGGAUUGGUAUGUAUUUGCUAGGCCUGCUGGAAAACGAUGUUUUGUUGUUUCUUCAAAUGGAACAACAAUCAGUAGACUGCGCAAUGGAAUUCUCCUGCACCAUUUUCCUUCUGCUCUACCCAAUGGUGCCAGGACUAACAACAGUAAAUCUGCUCAAUCAUACUGUAUUCUUGAUUGCAUAUUUCACGAGUCUGAUAAGACAUAUUAUGUCAUUGACGGUGUUUGUUGGGCGGGAAUUUCAUUAUACGAGUGCACUGCCGAAUUCAGAUUCUUUUGGUUAAAUAGCAAGCUUGCUGAGACGGGAGCUUGUGAUGCUCCCUCAACUUAUCAUAAAUAUAAAUUUAGUGCUCUUCCUGUCUACAACUGUGACCAAGAAGGACUACAUACAGCUUAUGCAGGACAAGUUCCAUAUGUCAAGGAUGGAUUACUGUUUUACAACAAGCAUGCACAAUAUCAAACAGGAAAUACACCUCUAGCAUUGGUUUGGAAGGAUGAGCAUUGUAGUCAAUAUGUCAUUGAUACAGACAAUAAAGGACAAGUUCCAAGUCAACAACAGGUAGUUUUGGAGCUCCUGGAUGAUGGCAGACUGGCUACAUCUGAUGACCCUCCUGUCAUAUUUGGUUGCUUGCUUGGUGAAUUCAUUCAAAAGACAGAACUUCACCGUGGAGAUCUUAUAAAAUUUGCUAUAGGUGAAGGAGGAUUAACUGUUGUUGACAGUAAAUUGGAGAAGGCUGAUCUGAAAUACCUGGGCAAAUCCAAUCGUGCUCGUGCUUUUGCUGAUAGUUGCUCGAAGGUCUUGUUCCAGCACGCAGCUCGGUAUUCUCCCCUGAGAAUUGAGCAUCUUUUUGCAUCAAUCAGUUCAUUUGUUGAAGAUGGAGAUUCAACUCAAGAUGCAGAGAUGGCUGGUUAAAGGUGCCAUGUGCAGAAAACGCUUUUCAAUUAGCCAUAUAAACUUGCAUGGUUAUGAAAUUAACCGAGUGGUGGGCAUGAUCUUUCUCGCCUACAUUUUUUCUUGUUUUGGACGUGUAUAUCUCACCACAGAAGUAACAUUUUGCAUCAUGCACACAGCUGAAAUUUUUCUCUGGUGUUAAAUAGUUCAUCGUUGAGGUAAUGUUGUUCAAACAGGGUUAAAAUUUUGGUGAAGGCAGUGCUGAAGGUAACAACAGUGGAUACAAAAGAAAUGCACAUGGCUUUACUCGUUUUUGGAAUUUGGUAUUGUUUCUUUAUGAACAGCUCCAAUUCUCUUUUCGAUGUUUGCCCAUGGAAGGAGAUUAACAAUCCAAGUGAAAUAGCUGUGUCUAAUUUGUGAUGUUGGGAUAGAUUUUAGAGCUUCACAUCAGAGCUGGAAAACUGUAUUCAGCCAGAGGAGUGAAUAGAUUUGCUAAAACCAAAGAUAGUGUACAUUAUGGCUUCUUGUAUUGUAUUGGUGCCAAUUCCAACAAAUUCUGUAGCUGAA